This 246-nucleotide non-coding RNA is filed under the name Berkelbacteria bacterium GW2011_GWA2_46_7. RNAcentral's name for it is "self-splicing intron". It matches the Rfam family "Group I catalytic intron". Rfam says of the family: Group I catalytic introns are large self-splicing ribozymes. They catalyse their own excision from mRNA, tRNA and rRNA precursors in a wide range of organisms. Lineage: Bacteria; Candidatus Berkelbacteria. The record is from RNAcentral.
GUUGAUUUGUAAAAAAUGUUGCGACUCUCAUCAGUAAUGAUGAUGACAAAACUUGGCUAUAUGCUGGAACAACUCAGUAUCCGACAGUACCCUUCGACUAAUCCUCAGGGUGAAAAUCUGUUCGGUGGAGUCAAUCAGCAGGAAAGGUUUUAUCACAUUUAUGUGAUAAAAAAUCCUCAGAGGCCAUAUGCCAAGCCCCGUUACAAACGGGUGAAGAUAUGGUCCAUACGUCACAGCGAUGUGAUG